RNAcentral lists this ribosomal RNA (96 nucleotides) under Vibrio parahaemolyticus 3644. The record is from RNAcentral. RNAcentral also lists the same sequence under 1 other name. Lineage: Bacteria; Pseudomonadati; Pseudomonadota; Gammaproteobacteria; Vibrionales; Vibrionaceae.
CUUGGCGACCAUAGCACUUUGGACCCACCUGAUUUCCAUUCCGAACUCAGAAGUGAAACGAAGUAGCGUCGAUGGUAGUGUGGGGCUUCCCCAUGU